RNAcentral lists this ribosomal RNA (514 nucleotides) under uncultured bacterium. RNAcentral describes it as "partial 16S ribosomal RNA". It matches the Rfam family "Bacterial small subunit ribosomal RNA", at positions 28 to 523 of the family's 1533-position model. The record is from RNAcentral.
GAUGAACGCUGGCGGCGUGCCUAAUACGUGCAAGUCGAGCGCGAGAGUGAGGAGCUUGCUCCUCAUGAUCGAGCGGCGGACGGGUGAGUAACACGUAGGCAACCUACCCUUGAGAUUGGGAUAACUACCGGAAACGGUAGCUAAUACCGGAUACGACUUUUCCACAUAAGUGGAAUGGUUAAAAGGCGGAUUUAUCUGCCUCUCAUGGAUGGGCCUGCGGUGCAUUAGCUAGUUGGUGAGAUAGUGGCUCACCAAGGCGACGAUGCAUAGCCGACCUGAGAGGGUGAUCGGCCACACUGGGACUGAGACACGGCCCAGACUCCUACGGGAGGCAGCAGUAGGGAAUCUUCCGCAAUGGACGCAAGUCUGACGGAGCAACGCCGCGUGAGUGAUGAAGGGUUUCGGCUCGUAAAACUCUGUUGUUAAGGAAGAACACUUGAGGUAGUAACUGGCCUUGAGAUGACGGUACUUAACCAGAAAGCCAUGGCUAACUACGUGCCAGCCGCCGCAGUAA